Molecule: transfer RNA, 66 nt
Filed under: Brookesia decaryi (spiny leaf chameleon)
Lineage: Eukaryota; Metazoa; Chordata; Lepidosauria; Squamata; Chamaeleonidae
Description: tRNA-Lys
Source: RNAcentral
CACUAGGAAGCUUGCACUAGCAACAGCCCUUUAAGCUGAAGAAGGGGCCCAAUUCCCCCCUUGUGA